UGUGCAAAUCAAUAUAAAUUGAUUAAAUUUUAUUUAUUUAUUUAUUUUUAAAAAAAAAUAUUUUAUUAAAAAUAAUUAUAAAAUUAUUUGUUUUAGUAUUUAAUAAAGAAAAAAUAAUAUUAAUAAUAGUUUAAUAGUAUUGUAAAAGAAAAUUGAAAUAAAUUGAAAAAUUUUUAUUAUAAAAGAAAAUUUUAUUUAUUGUACCUUGUGUAUCAGGGUUUAUUAAAAAAAGAUUAAUUAUUUAAUUUUCUCGAUUUUAAAAGAGUUAAUAUAUUAUUUAAGUUAAUGUAAUAAAAUUAUUUAUAAUAAUAUAUUUGAAAUGAAAUGUUAUUCGUUUUUAAAGGUAUCUAGUUCUUUAAGAAAUAAAUUAAAUUUAGAAAUUUUAUAUUAUUUAAUUAAAUAUAUUAAUUAAAUAAUUAUUUAAUUUUAAUAUUUUAUGGGAUAAGCUAUAAAAUAAAUUUUUAAAAAUUUAUGAAUAAAUUAAUAAAUAUAAGCUUAGAAAUGGUUAUUAUUAAUAAAAGUGUUAUAAUUUAUUUUAUAUUAAUUAUUAUUUAUUUUAAUUUUAAAUAUAUAUUAAAGUAUUUAUUUUAAUUUUAUAAAUAAAAAAAUAAUGAUAAAAUUAGUAUAAAAAUUUGUAUUAAUAUUUAUAGUUGAUAAGUUUUUAUAAAGAAUUCGGCAAAAUAAUAUUCGCCUGUUUAACAAAAACAUGUCUUUUUGAAUUUAUAAAAAGUCUAACCUGCCCACUGAAUUUUUUUAAAUGGCCGCAGUAUUUUAACUGUGCAAAGGUAGCAUAAUCAUUAGUCUUUUAAUUAAAGGCUAGAAUGAAUGGUUGAACGAAAUAUUAACUGUUUCAUAAAAAUUUUUAUUAAAAUUUUAUUUUUUAGUUAAAAAGCUAAAAUUUAUUUAAAAGACGAGAAGACCCUAUAAAUCUUUAUAUUUAAAUUAUAAUAAUUUUUUAGAUUUAUUUUAUUAUUAUAAUUAAUAAUAUUUUAUUGGGGUGAUAUUAAAAUUUAAUAAACUUUUAAUAAAAAAUUAUCAUUUAUUUAUGAAUAAUUGAUCCGUUAAUAACGAUUAAAAAAUCAAGUUACUUUAGGGAUAACAGCGUAAUUUUUUUGGAGAGUUCUUAUCGAUAAAAAAGAUUGCGACCUCGAUGUUGGAUUAAGAAAUAAUUUUAGGUGUAGUAGCUUAAACUUUAAGUCUGUUCGACUUUUAAAUUCUUACAUGAUCUGAGUUCAAACCGGUGUAAGCCAGGUUGGUUUCUAUCUUUAAAAAAUUAAAAUAUUUCAGUACGAAAGGACCUAAUAUUUGGUAAAUAAUUAUUUUU
RNAcentral lists this ribosomal RNA (1324 nucleotides) under Subclytia rotundiventris. Its description in RNAcentral is "16S ribosomal RNA". The stretch from base 1095 to 1254 matches the Rfam family "Archaeal large subunit ribosomal RNA", at positions 2544 to 2703 of the family's 2987-position model. Lineage: Eukaryota; Metazoa; Arthropoda; Insecta; Diptera; Tachinidae. The record is from RNAcentral.